CCGACCUUAGCUCAGUUGGAAGAGCGCGAGACUGUAAUUGGAUAAAAAUCAUCUUGAGGUCGCCUGUUCGAGCCAGGCAGGUCGGA
Molecule: transfer RNA, 86 nt
Filed under: Cylindrobasidium torrendii FP15055 ss-10
Lineage: Eukaryota; Fungi; Basidiomycota; Agaricomycetes; Agaricales; Physalacriaceae
Rfam family: tRNA
About the family: Transfer RNA (tRNA) molecules are approximately 80 nucleotides in length. Their secondary structure includes four short double-helical elements and three loops (D, anti-codon, and T loops). Further hydrogen bonds mediate the characteristic L-shaped molecular structure. tRNAs have two regions of fundamental functional importance: the anti-codon, which is responsible for specific mRNA codon recognition, and the 3' end, to which the tRNAs corresponding amino acid is attached (by aminoacyl-tRNA synthetases). tRNAs cope with the degeneracy of the genetic code in two manners: having more than one tRNA (with a specific anti-codon) for a particular amino acid; and 'wobble' base-pairing, i.e. permitting non-standard base-pairing at the 3rd anti-codon position.
Source: Rfam by way of RNAcentral